CAGCAAAGGUAAGAAAGGCAAUUGGCCUACUCGAGACAUUGAAUAGUGUCAAUUUAUGUCAUGAGCUCCUUUUCAAGCAGCAAGAGGGCUUUCUAACAAAGAGAACGGCGCAUUCGAGAACAUCUGUGCGGGGAUAUCUAAACUAUUGGAUUCACCUCAGAGAAAGCACUUUACUGUUUGACCCGUAUCCGAGGGUCACUUCU
Molecule: long non-coding RNA, 203 nt
Filed under: Nicotiana benthamiana
Lineage: Eukaryota; Viridiplantae; Streptophyta; Magnoliopsida; Solanales; Solanaceae
Description: long non-coding RNA (NBEN_LNC011840)
Source: RNAcentral